CAGCCGCCACGGGAAUACGAACCGUGCGAACGUUAUUCGGAAUCACUGGGCUUAAAGCGCGUGUAGGCGGGCCGCCACGUCGGUUGCUGAAAUCCCCCGGCUCAACCGGGGAAGUGGCAUCGAUACGAGCGGCCUUGAGGGGGGUAGGGGGAUCUGGAACUUCCGGUGGAGCGGUGAAAUGCGUUGAGAUCGGAAGGAACGCCCGUGGCGAAAGCGAGGUCCUGGACCCUUUCUGACGCUGAGACGCGAAAGCCAGGGGAGCGAACGGGAUUAGAUACCCCCGUAGUCCCUGUCUCUUAUA
Molecule: ribosomal RNA, 301 nt
Filed under: uncultured bacterium
Lineage: Bacteria
Description: partial 16S ribosomal RNA
Rfam family: Bacterial small subunit ribosomal RNA
Source: RNAcentral